CACGUAGGCACCAAGCGUUGUCCGGAUUUAUUGGGCGUGAAGAGCUCGUAGGCGGUUCGGUAAGUCGGGUGUGAAAACUUUGGGCUCAACCCAAAGCCUGCACUCGAUACUGCUGUGACUUGAGUCCGGUAGGGGAGUGGGGAAUUCCUGGUGUAGCGGUGGAAUGCGCAGAUAUCAGGAGGAACACCGGUGGCGAAGGCGCCACUCUGGGCCGGUACUGACGCUGAGGAGCGAAAGCGUGGGGAGCGAACAGG
RNAcentral lists this ribosomal RNA (254 nucleotides) under uncultured bacterium. RNAcentral describes it as "partial 16S ribosomal RNA". It matches the Rfam family "Bacterial small subunit ribosomal RNA", at positions 524 to 776 of the family's 1533-position model. The record is from RNAcentral.